GAAUCUUCCACAAUGGACGAAAGUCUGAUGGAGCAAUGUCGCGUGAGUGAAGAAGGUUUUCGGAUCGUAAAACUCUGUUGUGAGGGAAGAACAAGUACGAGAGUAACCGCUCGUACCUUGACGGUACCCCAUUAGAAAGCCACGGCUAACUCCGUGCCAGCCGCCGCGGUAAGACGGAGGUUGCAAGCGUUGUCCGGAAUUAUUGGGCGUAAAGCGCGCGCAGGCGGUCCUUUAAGUCUGAUGUGAAAUCCCACGGCUCAACCGUGGAAGGUCAUUGGAAACUGGGGGACUUGAGUACAGAAGAGGAAAGUGGAAUUCCAAGUGUAGCGGUGAAAUGCGUAGAGAUUUGGAGGAACACCAGUGGCGAAGGCGACUUUCUGGUCUGUAACUGCCGCUGAGGCGCGAAAGCGUGGGGAGCAAACA
Molecule: ribosomal RNA, 423 nt
Filed under: uncultured bacterium
Lineage: Bacteria
Description: bacterial SSU rRNA
Rfam family: Bacterial small subunit ribosomal RNA
Source: RNAcentral